GGGUUUGGGUGGAGUUAAGGAGGAAUGAGAGAGCCGGGGGAGGAGAAAAGUCAUAGGAUCUUAGCGGGAGGGGCAUCGGAACUUUGUGAGGCUGGUUCCUUAUUCUAAUAUCCACAAUCCAAAAUCAAAAGCUACAGUUGUCUAGAGUUCUUUUGAUUUCAUCGAAAUAUAGAGCGAGUCCUUCCUCUUUUUUCACACAAAAUAAAACACAAUGCUAGCAUUUGAUUUUGAUA
This 233-nucleotide long non-coding RNA is filed under the name Elaeis guineensis (African oil palm). Its description in RNAcentral is "long non-coding RNA (EGUI_LNC022336)". Lineage: Eukaryota; Viridiplantae; Streptophyta; Magnoliopsida; Arecales; Arecaceae. The record is from RNAcentral.